ACUGCUCAGUAACACGUAGUCAACAUGCCCAGGGGACGUGGAUAACCUCGGGAAACUGAGGAUAAACCGCGAUAGGUCAUCACUUCUGGAAUGGGUAAUGACUUAAACCUAUAUGGCCCCUGGAUUGGACUGCGGCCGAUCAGGCUGUUGGUGAGGUAAUGGCCCACCAAACCUGUAACCGGUACGGGCUCUGAGAGGAGGAGCCCGGAGAUGGGCACUGAGACAAGGGCCCAGGCCCUAUGGGGCGCAGCAGGCGCGAAACCUCUGCAAUAGGCGAAAGCUUGACAGGGUUACUCUGAGUGGUUUCCGUUAAGGAGAUCUUUUGGCACCUCUAAAAAUGGUGCAGAAUAAGGGGUGGGCAAGUCUGGUGUCAGCCGCCGCGGUAAUACCAGCACCCCGAGUGGUCGGGACGUUUAUUGGGCCUAAAGCAUCCGUAGCCGGUUCUACAAGUCUUCCGUUAAAUCCACCUGCUUAACAGAUGGGCUGCGGAAGAUACUAUAGAGCUAGGAGGCGGGAGAGGCAAGCGGUACUCGAUGGGUAGGGGUAAAAUCCGUUGAUCCAUUGAAGACCACCAGUGGCGAAGGCGGCUUGCCAGAACGCGCUCGACGGUGAGGGAUGAAAGCUGGGGGAGCAAACCGGAUUAGAUACCCGGGUAGUCCCAGCUGUAAACGAUGCAGACUCGGUGAUGAAUUGGCUUAUUGCUAAUUCAGUGCCGCAGGGAAGCCGUUAAGUUUGCCGCCUGGGGAGUACGGUCGCAAGACUGAAACUUAAAGGAAUUGGCGGGGGA
This 787-nucleotide ribosomal RNA is filed under the name uncultured archaeon. Its description in RNAcentral is "bacterial SSU rRNA". It matches the Rfam family "Archaeal small subunit ribosomal RNA", at positions 85 to 875 of the family's 1478-position model. The record is from RNAcentral.